This 72-nucleotide transfer RNA is filed under the name Chelonia mydas (Green sea turtle). It matches the Rfam family "tRNA". From Rfam's summary of the family: Transfer RNA (tRNA) molecules are approximately 80 nucleotides in length. The record is from Rfam by way of RNAcentral. Lineage: Eukaryota; Metazoa; Chordata; Testudines; Cheloniidae.
UUCCUGGUAGUCUAGUGAUUAGGAUUUGGCCCUUUCACCGCCGCGGCCUGGGUUCGAUUCCUGGUUAGGGAA